RNAcentral lists this transfer RNA (82 nucleotides) under Lachancea thermotolerans. Its description in RNAcentral is "tRNA-Ser". It matches the Rfam family "tRNA". Rfam says of the family: Transfer RNA (tRNA) molecules are approximately 80 nucleotides in length. Lineage: Eukaryota; Fungi; Ascomycota; Saccharomycetes; Saccharomycetales; Saccharomycetaceae. The record is from RNAcentral. RNAcentral also lists the same sequence under 2 other names.
GGCACUAUGGCCGAGUGGUUAAGGCGAAAGACUCGAAAUCUUUUGGGCUCUGCCCGCGCUGGUUCAAAUCCUGCUGGUGUCG